Molecule: long non-coding RNA, 281 nt
Organism: Drosophila novamexicana
Lineage: Eukaryota; Metazoa; Arthropoda; Insecta; Diptera; Drosophilidae
Exons: 3
Source: RefSeq, a predicted model, not a curated record
AAUCGGACUGCUCGACCCGACGCUGAUUAACUAGAAGAUACACUGAGCUUUAACCUGCGUCUCAUCCUGAUUGCAUUGGUUUCACUGUGCUACAGCUUGUCAAUACUGGAUUGGACGCACUGAAUCCAGCUUAAAGAGAGCGAGCAAGUUUAGUGAAGCGAGAAGAGAGCAUCCCUCCACAAAAAAACAAAAAAAAAUCAAAUUCGAUAAGGAACUGUCGCAGUCGAGUGCAACGGAAAAUUUGCCUUUUGUCCCAGCAAAAUAGCCAAAGUGCCGAGUAA